RNAcentral lists this ribosomal RNA (480 nucleotides) under uncultured Pelotomaculum sp. RNAcentral describes it as "bacterial SSU rRNA". It matches the Rfam family "Bacterial small subunit ribosomal RNA", at positions 904 to 1382 of the family's 1533-position model. Lineage: Bacteria; Bacillati; Bacillota; Clostridia; Eubacteriales; Desulfotomaculaceae. The record is from RNAcentral.
UACAAGGAAUUGACGGGGCCCGCACAAGCGGUGGAGCAUGUGGUUAAUUCGACGCAACGCGAAGAACCUUACCAGGGCUUGACAUCCCCUGACCGCGUAUGAAAGUACGUUUUCACCCUCGGGUGACAGGGAGACAGGUGGUGCAUGGUUGUCGUCAGCUCGUGUCGUGAGAUGUUGGGUUAAGUCCCGCAACGAGCGCAACCCCUACGUUUAGUUGCUAACAGGUGAAGCUGAGCACUCUAGACGAACUGCCGUUGACAAAACGGAGGAAGUGGGAUGACGUCAAAUCAUCAUGCCCCUUAUGUUCUGGGCUACACACGUGCUACAAUGGCCGGUACAGACGGAGGCGAAGCCGCGAGGCGGAGCAAAUCCGAAAAAGCCGGUCUCAGUUCGGAUUGCAGGCUGCAAUUCGCCUGCAUGAAGUCGGAAUCGCUAGUAAUCGCAGGUCAGCAUACUGCGGUGAAUACGUUCCCGGGCCUU